CAAGUCGCACGGGAGCAGCAAUGCUCUAGUGGCGCAAGGGUGAGUAAUGUAUCGCUAACGUACCCUGGACGCUGGGAUAGCUGCCCGAAAGGGCAGGUAAUACCAGAUGAAAUAUCCGGCCCGCAUGGGUUGGAUCUCAAAGGAGCAAUCCGGUCUGGGCGCGGGCGAUAUCGUAUCAGCUAGUUGGUGAGGUAACGGCUCACCAAGGCGACGACGCGUAGCCGGACUGAGAGGUCGGUCGGCCACAUCGGGACUGAGACACUGCCCGGACUCCUACGGGGGGCUGCAGUAACGAAUCUUCCCCAAUGGGCGCAAGCCUGAGGGAGCGACGCCGCGUGGAGGAUGAAGUCCUUCGGGAUGUAAACUCCUGUCAGGGGUUACCAAGUUCUGAGGAGCCCCAAAGGAAGAGGCGGCUAACUCUGUGCCAGCAGCCGCGGUAAGACAGAGGCCUCAAGCGUUAGGCGGAAUCACUGGGCUUAAAGCGUGUGUAGGCGGAUCGUUUAGUGCCUUGUGAAAUCCCACGGCUUAACUGUGGAACGGCUGGGCAUACUGGCGGUCCUGAGCCAUCUAGGGGCGACUGGAACAAACGGUGGAGCGGUGAAAUGCGUAGAUAUCGUUUGGAACGCCAAUGGUGAAAACAGGUCGCUGGGGAUGCGCUGACGCUGAGACACGAAAGCCAGGGGAGCAAACGGGAUUAGAUACCCCGGUAGUCCUGGCCCUAAACGAUGUCCACUAGAUCAUGGUUCCUCUGACGGAUUCAUGGUCGAAGCAAAAGUGCUAAGUGGACCGCCUGGGAAGUA
This 800-nucleotide ribosomal RNA is filed under the name uncultured bacterium. RNAcentral describes it as "bacterial SSU rRNA". It matches the Rfam family "Bacterial small subunit ribosomal RNA", at positions 58 to 882 of the family's 1533-position model. The record is from RNAcentral.